CCAUCUGGUCCCUGAUGAUUCCCAAGAUCAAAAAUGGCAGGAUAAAGCCAAGAAGAAUGGAUGGAAGGUGCCAAGAGGCAGAUUUUAAUUCCAUGUCUCUGAAGGAGCUGGCUGCCCAAGGAAACUAUCUUGAGCCUUUGUUGUUCAGUUGUAUACAACUUCUUGUGACCCCUAUUUGGAGUUUUCUUGGCAGAGUUCUAGAAGUCUGGUUCACAUCUCCCUCUCCAGCUCAAAAGACAGAUGAAGAAACAGAAGAAAGUGACUCACCCAAGGCCACACAGGGGAGGCAGCUGAGACACAAUUAACCAGGGUGGUGUCCAAGGACACGGGUCAAUCGGCAGCAGAGACUGGAGUGAAAUCUUGAUCUCCUGACUCCUUACCUCUGUGUUCUUCUCCCUGCAAUACCCUGGCAGACCUAUGUGUCUGUCAGCAUUCCAGCCAGAAAUAAAAGGAGAAGGAUCUUGUUUUAG
This is a long non-coding RNA of Monodelphis domestica (gray short-tailed opossum), 470 nucleotides long. The record is from Ensembl. Lineage: Eukaryota; Metazoa; Chordata; Mammalia; Didelphimorphia; Didelphidae.